ACCAACCUCUCUUAUUCAGUCUAGCCCUCCCUCACUCUGGUUCCUCCAUCUCUCUCAUUUUCCCAAGCUCUGCUCAUCAAAAGACACUGCGAACCCACAUUCAAGGUUGUAACAGAGUAUCCCAAGCCACAAAGGCCCCACAUCGUCCUGUCAUGCCAGAAGUCGCCCACCUGGCCUCCAUGAAGCCGCAGUUGCCAACAGUGACUCCACAGCCCAGUUUUCACGCCACAUCAUUGACCCUCAGAGCACUGACCAGCGCCACCACACUGCUCCCAUGGGAGGAGCUGCACAUGCAAGUGCACACCAUCCUGAUCAUUGUUAUCUUUUGUGUGGUCUGCUUACUGCUGCUACUGGCCUUCGCAUAUGCUUUCUGCUUCCAUUGCUCCAUCCGCUCGUCCCCCAAAGACUCACACAGAGCCACCGCAUGCAGCCUAGACCGCGAGGACGCCACCUACAAGCGCAGUUCGUCCGACAGCCAGUCAGUGGGGAACAUUGUCUGACUGGGGACUCUGCACCAGAAUAACUCAUAUUUGAUUCAUGUUAGGAUUGUGCUGUUCUUGGUUGAGCAUGUAUGGCAUUAUAUGGAUGAGACAUCGGUCGAAACUCCUAUUUAAUUUGAUAUUUAUUUUCAUCAUUCAUUUUGAAGCCUAAAUAAAAGGACAUAGCAGGC
Scophthalmus maximus (turbot) is the source of this 670-nucleotide long non-coding RNA. RefSeq lists it as uncharacterized. The record is from RefSeq and is a predicted model, not a curated record. Lineage: Eukaryota; Metazoa; Chordata; Actinopteri; Pleuronectiformes; Scophthalmidae. The transcript is spliced from 2 exons.